GAUGAACGCUGGCGGCGUGCCUAAUACAUGCAAGUCGAGCGAACGGACGAGAAGCUUGCUUCUCUGAUGUUAGCGGCGGACGGGUGAGUAACACGUGGAUAACCUACCUAUAAGACUGGGAUAACUUCGGGAAACCGGAGCUAAUACCGGAUAAUAUUUUGAACCGCAUGGUUCAAAAGUGAAAGACGGUCUUGCUGUCACUUAUAGAUGGAUCCGCGCUGCAUUAGCUAGUUGGUAAGGUAACGGCUUACCAAGGCAACGAUGCAUAGCCGACCUGAGAGGGGGAUUGGCCACACCAGAACUGGGACACGGUCCCGACUCCUACGGGAGGGAGCAGUAGGGGAUCUUACGGAAUGGGGGGAAACCUGACGGGGGAACGGCGCGUGGGUGGUGAAGGUCUUCGGAUCGGAAAACCCUUUUAUUAGGGGAGAACAUAUGUGGAAGGUACUGUGGACAUCUUGACGGUACCUAAUCAAGAAGCCACGGCUAACUACGUG
This 497-nucleotide ribosomal RNA is filed under the name uncultured bacterium. Its description in RNAcentral is "partial 16S ribosomal RNA". It matches the Rfam family "Bacterial small subunit ribosomal RNA", at positions 28 to 507 of the family's 1533-position model. The record is from RNAcentral.